RNAcentral lists this ribosomal RNA (457 nucleotides) under uncultured bacterium. Its description in RNAcentral is "bacterial SSU rRNA". It matches the Rfam family "Bacterial small subunit ribosomal RNA", at positions 1 to 507 of the family's 1533-position model. The record is from RNAcentral.
CAUGACGAGUUUGAUCAUGGCUCAGAGUGAACGCUGGCGGCAGGCUUAACACAUGCAAGUCGAACGCCCCGCAAGGGGAGUGGCAGACGGGUGAGUAACGCGUGGGAAUCUACCCAGAUCUUCGGAACAACUGAGGGAAACUUCAGCUAAUACCGGAUACGCCCUACGGGGGAAAGAUUUAUCGGUUCUGGAUGAGCCCGCGUUGGAUUAGCUAGUUGGUGGGGUAAUGGACCACCAAGGCGACGAUCAGUAGCUGGUUUGAGAGGAUGAUCAGCCACAAUGGGACUGAGACACGGCCCAUACUCCUACGGGAGGCAGCAGUAGGGAAUUUUGCGCAAUGGGCGAAAGCCUGACGCAGCAACGCCGCGUGAUUGAUGAAGCCCUUCGGGGUGUAAAGAUCUGUCAGUGGGGACGAAACUUGACGGUACCCACAGAGGAAGCAACGGCUAACUACGUG